CAGUAGCCGCGGGAAUACGGAGGGGGCUAGCGUUGUUCGGAAUUACUGGGCGUAAAGCGCACGUAGGCGGCUUGGUAAGUUAGAGGUGAAAGCCCGGAGCUCAACUCCGGAAUUGCCUUUAAGACUGCCGAGCUAGCAGGUGAGAGAGGUAAGUGGAAUUCCGAGUGUAGAGGUGAAAUUCGUAGAUAUUCGGAAGAACACCAGUGGCGAAGGCGGCUUACUGGCUCAUUCUAGACGCUGAGGUGCGAAAGCGUGGGGAGCAAACAGGAUUAGAUACCCCCGUAGUCCCUGUCUCUUAUAC
RNAcentral lists this ribosomal RNA (301 nucleotides) under uncultured bacterium. Its description in RNAcentral is "partial 16S ribosomal RNA". It matches the Rfam family "Bacterial small subunit ribosomal RNA", at positions 509 to 807 of the family's 1533-position model. The record is from RNAcentral.